This 65-nucleotide transfer RNA is filed under the name Cerambycidae sp. 2 KM-2017. Its description in RNAcentral is "tRNA-Phe". Lineage: Eukaryota; Metazoa; Arthropoda; Insecta; Coleoptera; Cerambycidae. The record is from RNAcentral.
ACUUGGAUAGCUUAUACAGAGCAUAAUAUUGAAGAUAUUAGGGAAAUAGUUAUUAUUUCCAAGUA